CUUCAUGGAGAGUUUGAUCCUGGCUCAGGACGAACGCUGGCGGCGUGCCUAAUACAUGCAAGUCGAGCGGACAGAUGGGAGCUUGCUCCCUGAUGUUA
Molecule: ribosomal RNA, 98 nt
Filed under: Bacillus paralicheniformis
Lineage: Bacteria; Bacillati; Bacillota; Bacilli; Caryophanales; Bacillaceae
Description: partial 16S ribosomal RNA
Rfam family: Bacterial small subunit ribosomal RNA
Source: RNAcentral